Molecule: non-coding RNA, 24 nt
Filed under: Cricetulus griseus (Chinese hamster)
Lineage: Eukaryota; Metazoa; Chordata; Mammalia; Rodentia; Cricetidae
Source: RNAcentral
AUAUGCUUAUUUAAGGGAACAAAG